Long non-coding RNA from Bacillus rossius redtenbacheri, 776 nucleotides. RefSeq lists it as uncharacterized. The record is from RefSeq and is a predicted model, not a curated record. NCBI's taxonomy places the organism in Eukaryota, Metazoa, Arthropoda, Insecta, Phasmatodea, Bacillidae. The transcript is spliced from 2 exons.
ACACGUGACUCCCACACCGCCGCCAUGACACACAGGUUCCUGUUGAGUUGCCUGCUGUUGCUGGCGCUGCUGGGCAUCUGCGCGGCGCAGUACGGCGGCUACGGCAGAGGAGGCUACGGCAGAGGAGGAGGUGGUAACUACGGCGGCUACGGCGGGAGGGGAGGUGGCUACGGCGGCUACGGCGGGAGGGGUGGAGGCUACGGCGGAAGAAGGGGUGGCUACGGCGGCUGGGGGCGCUAGGCAUCUCUACCUGCGCGAGAGCCUUCAUACGGAACAUUUACCACUGGAAUCCUUCGUGACAUGUCCAAGAAAUUUCAGUUCUUGGAUUCUUCGAUUUUCCAAUGUUGCAAAGUACCAUGCCUACCCCCAAAAAAAUAUCUCGUGUUUUUAAAGUGAUUAAACUUUAGUUUAUACCCUAAAAUAUUACAUGGAACUUAAUUAAAAAAUAUAUAUUUACUUACCAUAGUGUCUGUAAUUGCUUUGUUAGCUCCCAUUCUAUUCAUGCAAAGCUUUUGUAAGGUCUAGCAGAAUAUAUAUAUAUAUAUAUAUAUAUAUAUAUAUAUGUGUGUGUGUGUGUGUAUAUAUAUAUAAUAGAAAUGCAACACGGAUACGAUUUUAGACUAUUCAUAGCUUCGUGAAUUAGAUUAUGUCAAUAGAACUAUUUUUAAAACUUCUGGUCUGUUAAAAUAAUUUAGUCUCUAGGCUCUGGUUCUUUAUAAGUAAUGUUCUCAUUAUUUUUAUUACUGCAAUAAAACGUGUUUGUUGUUUUUAUAAAA